CGGGACCAGCUCCUUCGGGAAGCUGGCGAGCGGCGGACGGGUGAGUAACGCAUGGGAACUUACCCAGUAGUGGGGGAUAGCCCGGGGAAACCCGGAUUAAUACCGCAUACGCCCUGAGGGGGAAAGCGGGCUCCGGCUCGCGCUAUUGGAUGGGCCCAUGUCGGAUUAGUUAGUUGGUGGGGUAAUGGCCUACCAAGGCGACGAUCCGUAGCUGGUCUGAGAGGAUGAUCAGCCACACCGGGACUGAGACACGGCCCGGACUCCUACGGGAGGCAGCAGUGGGGAAUAUUGGACAAUGGGGGCAACCCUGAUCCAGCCAUGCCGCGUGUGUGAAGAAGGCCUUAAGGUUGUAAAGCACUUUCAGCAGGGAGGAAAAGCUGAUCGUUAAUACCGGUCAGUGUUGACGUUACCUGCAGAAGAAGCACCGGCUAACUCCGUUCCAACAACCGCGGUAAUACGGAGGGUGCAAAGCGUUAAUCGGAAUUACUGGGCCUUAAAGGCGCCUAAGCGGUUUGGUAAACGAAUUGUGAAAGCCCGGGCUCAAACUGGGAAAUGGAAUUCCAACUGCCAAACUUGAAUGCAACAAAAGGCAAUUGNANUCCAAGUGUUACCGUGAAAUC
RNAcentral lists this ribosomal RNA (620 nucleotides) under bacterium 'A349-UMH 31% pond'. RNAcentral describes it as "bacterial SSU rRNA". It matches the Rfam family "Bacterial small subunit ribosomal RNA", at positions 67 to 688 of the family's 1533-position model. The record is from RNAcentral.